RNAcentral lists this unclassified non-coding RNA (201 nucleotides) under soil metagenome. Its description in RNAcentral is "partial contains 5.8S ribosomal RNA, internal transcribed spacer 2, and large subunit ribosomal RNA". The record is from RNAcentral.
AAGACUAUAGACCUGCGGAGUACCUGCGGAAGGAUCAUUACCGAGCUCGUGCCCUUCGGGGCAGAUCUCCCACCCGAUGUCAUGACUACGAUGUUGCUUUGGCGGGCCGCCGGGCCCUGCCCGCCAGAGGUCUCCUAGACUCUGAAUAUUAGUGUCGUCCGAGUAUCACAGAAUAGUCAAAACUUUCAACAACGGAUCUCU